AUUGAACGCUGGCGGCAGGCCUAACACAUGCAAGUCGAGCGGACGAAGGGAGCUUUCUCCUGGCUUCAGCGGCGGACGGGUGAGUAAUGCCUAGGAAUCUGCCUGGUAGUUGGGGAUAACGUCCGGACACGGGCGCUAAUACCGCAUACGUCCUGAGGGAGAAAGUGGGGGAUCUUCGGACCUCACGCUAUCAGAUGAGCCUAGGUCGGAUUAGCUAGUUGGUGGGGUAAAGGCCUACCAAGGCGACGAUCCGUAACUGGUCUGAGAGGAUGAUCAGUCACACUGGAACUGAGACACGGUCCAGACUCCUACGGGAGGCAGCAGUGGGGAAUAUUGGACAAUGGGCGAAAGCCUGAUCCAGCCAUGCCGCGUGUGUGAAGAAGGUCUUCGGAUUGUAAAGCACUUUAAGUUGGGAGGAAGGGCAGUAAGUUAAUACCUUGCUGUUUUGACGUUACCAACAGAAUAAGCCCCGGCUAACUUCGUG
This 484-nucleotide ribosomal RNA is filed under the name uncultured bacterium. Its description in RNAcentral is "partial 16S ribosomal RNA". It matches the Rfam family "Bacterial small subunit ribosomal RNA", at positions 30 to 507 of the family's 1533-position model. The record is from RNAcentral.